RNAcentral lists this ribosomal RNA (184 nucleotides) under uncultured bacterium. RNAcentral's name for it is "partial 16S ribosomal RNA". It matches the Rfam family "Bacterial small subunit ribosomal RNA", at positions 1317 to 1500 of the family's 1533-position model. The record is from RNAcentral.
UGCAUGAAGUUGGAAUCGCUAGUAAUCGCGGAUCAGCAUGCCGCGGUGAAUACGUUCCCGGGCCUUGUACACACCGCCCGUCACACCAUGAGAGUCGGGAACACCCGAAGUCCGUAGCCUAACAGCAAUGGGGGCGCGGCCGAAGGUGGGUUCGAUAAGUGGGGUGAAGUCGUAACAAGGUACC